This 482-nucleotide ribosomal RNA is filed under the name uncultured bacterium. RNAcentral describes it as "partial 16S ribosomal RNA". It matches the Rfam family "Bacterial small subunit ribosomal RNA", at positions 30 to 507 of the family's 1533-position model. The record is from RNAcentral.
AUUGAACGCUGGCGGCAUGCUUUACACAUGCAAGUCGAACGGUAACAGGCCGCAAGGUGCUGACGAGUGGCGAACGGGUGAGUAAUGCAUCGGAACGUGCCCAGUCGCGGGGGAUAACUACUCGCAAGAGUAGCUAAUACCUCAUACGAUCUAUGGAUGAAAGCGGGGGACCGUAAGGCCUCGCGCGAUUGGAGCGGCCGAUGUCAGAUUAGGUAGUUGGUGGGGUAAAGGCUCACCAAGCCAACGAUCUGUAGCUGGUCUGAGAGGACGACCAGCCACACUGGGACUGAGACACGGCCCAGACUCCUACGGGAGGCAGCAGUGGGGAAUUUUGGACAAUGGGCGCAAGCCUGAUCCAGCAAUGCCGCGUGCAGGAAGAAGGCCUUCGGGUUGUAAACUGCUUUUGUACGGAACGAAACGGCUCUGGUUAAUACCCGGGGCUAAUGACGGUACCGUAAGAAUAAGCACCGGCUAACUACGUG